CAGCAGUAGGGAAUAUUGGACAAUGGGGGCAACCCUGAUCCAGCGACGCCGCGUGUGUGAAGAAGGCCUGCGGGUUGUAAAGCACUUUUAGUGGGGAUGAAAAGCUCAGGGCUAAUAACUCUGGGUCUUGACCUAACCCAAAGAAAAAGCACCGGCUAACUCUGUGCCAGCAGCCGCGGUAAUACAGAGGGUGCGAGCGUUAAUCGGAAUUACUGGGCGUAAAGCGUGCGUAGACGGUUACGUAAGUCGGAUGUGAAAUCCCCGGGCUUAACCUGGGAAUUGCAUUCGAAACUGCAUAGCUUGGGUGCGGAAGAGGGAAGCGGAAUUUCCGGUGUAGCGGUGAAAUGCGUAGAUAUCGGAAGGAACAUCAGUGGCGAAGGCGGCUUCCUGGUCCAGCACCGACGUUCAGGCACGAAAGCGUGGGGAGCAAACAGGAUUAGA
Molecule: ribosomal RNA, 441 nt
Filed under: uncultured Gammaproteobacteria bacterium
Lineage: Bacteria; Pseudomonadati; Pseudomonadota; Gammaproteobacteria
Description: bacterial SSU rRNA
Rfam family: Bacterial small subunit ribosomal RNA
Source: RNAcentral